GCGGCGGCCGGCGCUCCAUGGCCGUGGCGCCUCGGUCUCGUGGGAAUAAGAGACGUGGGAGAGAGAGGAGGUGAGAUGGGGAGAAGAGAAGGCAGAGUAAGGACCGCGCGGAUUCUGGCGGUGGCUCCGGUCGGCGGAUCCAGGUAUGUGUCCCGACUCCUCUCCUCCCCGUAAAAAACGUUUGUCGCAUCGUUGCUAACUGCUAGAGAUGCCCUUCAUAAGUUCAUCCUGUGGCCAACAACAACCCCCAAGUCGCGUGAGAGUUCAGUGGCAUGGGCAUGCUCUCCCCUGAUUGAUUUUGUAUCAAAGAUUUUGUUGUGGCGUGUGGGCAGCACCCAUGAGUGUUGGAAGUACAUGUUCUAUAUACAUAAGAGCUUCUCUGGUGACUUACUCAUCUAAUGGUCAGAUACAAUUUUAGCAACAGUGAAUAGCCGCCUGAUAGUUUUGUUAUCUGCUUCUGAGUGUUCAUAAUGUGUAAAACGAAUCAACUUUACUAUGAUUUUACUUGAGAAGUUGAAUCUGCAAAGUCUUGAGAACAUUGACUAUAUACUCCAACACUGCAGGCCAACUCUUGAUGGAUUUCCAAUGUGGUACUGGCCUCCGAAUUUUUUCUGUCGUGUAGCCGCUCCCCAUCUCAGCGUGUGCUAUCCACGGAAGCCGGCUCCUCCACUCAGGCCCUCCUCUGCAACGCCGACGAGGACGCUACUUCGUCUGAACCGAUCUUCACGACCACGUGCAGGUAUACACAUGUGCUCCCCUGCCACCCCUGCACUGAUUUAAGGCGAAAUCCAAUUGGGAGUUAUUGAUAGGCACCAAUGUAUUCUUGGUUCAGUUCCCCUGUCUUGAAUUACGUUGAUCCUUUUGGUGAGAUCAAACUGAACAUGCUGAACAUCACUUGCCCAAACUAGCUGAACGCCUUGCUACAUUAUUGCCCAAUUUUGUAAAAUUGAUCAUAGCACUCCUGCUAUCAUGUCAUGUUUGCUAAUACUUAUUGAGCCAUAAAACGAUGUUUUCUGUUUAUAGGCUAGCCCUUCUUAUUAUGUUUCAGAAGAUCGAUAGUACCCAUUACAUUACUACAGUAUAGUGUAAUAUGAGAACCUGAGUUUUGGUUGCCAAGCAAAUGUUUGUGCUAAUUCCCACAAGAAAUUUUUGUUUGAAGAAUUAUUACUUCAUCAGGGAAAUAUCUUUUAUAUGGCUUCAUGAAAUCAAAUAUGACACUAGAUUUGCAGAAUGACUAAGCGACAUAGGAAACUGAUUUAGCACUACCUCAUUAAACAUGAAGACUUAUUCUUGAUUUUGUGCUGAUGUUUCAGAUGGAAUUUUUUUCAUAUGACAUUAGGGAUGUAGGAUGAUUGGGUGAACAAGCUUCCUGUGAAACAUCCAGAUCCCGGUGGCGGUGCCUCCGUUCAGCAUCCCACGCGGCGACGUCCUCCGGCAUAAUGGCAAACAUCGGCAGGGGAGAGAGAAGAGCGGGAGGGGUAUUGGGUCCAUACCAUUGUGGGCAUUGCCAGUGCCAUGAUUGUGGUUAAUACCCACAGGAGAUUCUAUUCCUGUGAGCGGAUUAAACAGAGUUGAGUAAACAUCAUCCAUAGGAGAUACAUGUGCUAAUUAAGUUUAGAGGAGAAAGUGGUUCUUUAUUCUUGUAAUUUUGGUGCAGAUGUCAUACAGGGGCAGAGAACAAUGGUCUUUUGGGAAUGCCUGAUAACUUUUUGGAGCUGCCAGGUAAAUUUUGGUACAAAUUUAUGUUAGUUCUACCUUUCCAUGAUGUUUAAUUGCUCGGUUCUUAAGGGUUUGUAACAGGAGAUGGAUUUUGGACUACUCUAUUUCGGAUGCCAGUAACGCGGAUCUGCAGAUGAAAAAUAAAACAGUGUGCAUGGUGUUUUUUUCUUACAGAAUACUUUUAUAUGCCGUGUUCUAUUUUUCUUGAGGUUUAGGACUAUUUGGUGUGCUACAUAAUCCAUGUUUUCAACUGCAAAUUUUUAGUUUUAUUAUUAUCAUAUUUACUAUUUCUCAGUAGUAAUACAUAACACGUCGCUGGUGAAAAGCCUACUGGAAAGAAUAAUUAGUCAAUAAUGUUGUCUUAAGAACAGUAGUAUUUGGCUCGAAGUAUAGGCACUGUCAAUUUUUUUAAAAAGUUCCAUGUUCACCACUAUUGCCAUCUGUUCCUAUUUGUUGGUUUUUCCUAUGGCAGUUUGGAGCAAGUGAUUGGCCUAUAAUCUAACUAAUAUUCAGGCUUGCUGAGAAUUUUUUACUACGAGAUAAGUAGAUGAUCAUUCAUUUAACCCACAGCGAAGAUAAAGUAGAUUAUGGUGACCGAACUGAGCACACGCUGACUUAGUGCUUCGACCCUUCAUGUUUAUGAUUCACUAAUUCUGGUCCUCCCAUUACUAUUGAACUAAAUUCAAAGUUGUUGCUAUGUCAAUUCGGUUGCCUGCUUGCCAUAGUUUAUCUCCCUAUUUUGUGCCAUGUUGAUUAGCUAAUUGGCAUGAGAAAGAAACAUUAUGCAUCUACAUGUAUCUUAUCUCUCUGAAGUCAUAAAAUUGUAGUGAGAUGCAGUGCCCACGAAAUUGGCAUGUUUAAAUAUUAAAUUUUCCUUUAAUGAUCGAUGAGACCUUUUAG
Molecule: long non-coding RNA, 2619 nt
Filed under: Triticum aestivum (bread wheat)
Lineage: Eukaryota; Viridiplantae; Streptophyta; Magnoliopsida; Poales; Poaceae
Description: long non-coding RNA (TAES_LNC008490)
Source: RNAcentral